RNAcentral lists this ribosomal RNA (632 nucleotides) under uncultured bacterium. Its description in RNAcentral is "bacterial SSU rRNA". It matches the Rfam family "Bacterial small subunit ribosomal RNA", at positions 56 to 685 of the family's 1533-position model. The record is from RNAcentral.
UGCAAGUCGAACGGCAGCACGGGGCAACCUGGUGGCGAGUGGCGAACGGGUGAGUAAUACAUCGGAACGUGCCCAAUCGUGGGGGAUAACGUAGCGAAAGUUACGCUAAUACCGCAUACGAUCUACGGAUGAAAGCGGGGGAUCGCAAGACCUCGCGCGAAUGGAGCGGCCGAUGUCAGAUUAGGUAGUUGGUGGGGUAAAGGCUCACCAAGCCAACGAUCUGUAGCUGGUCUGAGAGGACGACCAGCCACACUGGAACUGAGACACGGUCCAGACUCCUACGGGAGGCAGCAGUGGGGAAUUUUGGACAAUGGGCGCAAGCCUGAUCCAGCCAUUCCGCGUGCAGGAUGAAGGCCUUCGGGUUGUAAACUGCUUUUGUACGGAACGAAACGGUCUGCCCUAAUACGGUGGGCUAAUGACGGUACCGUAAGAAUAAGCACCGGCUAACUACGUGCCAGCAGCCGCGGUAAUACGUAGGGUGCAAGCGUUAAUCGGAAUUACUGGGCGUAAAGCGUGCGCAGGCGGUUAUAUAAGACAGAUGUGAAAUCCCCGGGCUCAACCUGGGAACUGCAUUUGUGACUGUAUGGCUAGAGUACGGCAGAGGGGGAUGGAAUUCCGCGUGUAGCAGUGAA